This 657-nucleotide ribosomal RNA is filed under the name uncultured forest soil bacterium. RNAcentral describes it as "bacterial SSU rRNA". It matches the Rfam family "Bacterial small subunit ribosomal RNA", at positions 64 to 767 of the family's 1533-position model. The record is from RNAcentral.
GAGCGCCGUAGCAAUACGGAGCGGCAGACGGGAGAGUAACACGUGGGAACGUGCCCUCUGGUCCGGAACAACCCAGGGAAACUUGGGCUAAUACCGGAUAAGUCCGUAAGGAGAAAGAUUUAUCGCCAAAGGAUCGGCCCGCGUCUGAUUAGCUAGCUGGUGAGGUAACGGCUCACCAAGGCGACGAUCAGUAGCUGGUCUGAGAGGAUGAUCAGCCUCACUGGGACCGAGACACGGCCCAGACUCCUACGGGAGGCAGCAGUGGGGAAUAUUGGACAAUGGGCGCAAGCCUGAUCCAGCCAUGCCGCGUGGAUGAUGAAGGCCCUAGGGUUGUAAAGUCCUUUCGGCGGGGAAGAUAAUGACGGUACCCGCAGAAGAAGCCCCGGCUAACUUCGUGCCAGCAGCCGCGGUAAUACGAAGGGGGCUAGCGUUGCUCGGAAUCACUGGGCGUAAAGCGCACGUAGGCGGCUUUUUAAGUCAGGGGUGAAAUCCUGGAGCUCAACUCCAGAACUGCCUUUGAUACUGAGAGGCUUGAGUCCGGGAGAGGUGAGUGGAACUGCGAGUGUAGAGGUGAAAUUCGUAGAUAUUCGCAAGAACACCAGUGGCGAAGGCGGCUCACUGGCCCGGUACUGACGCUGAGGUGCGAAAGCGUGGGGA